Long non-coding RNA from Oncorhynchus keta (chum salmon), 8328 nucleotides. RefSeq lists it as uncharacterized. The record is from RefSeq and is a predicted model, not a curated record. Lineage: Eukaryota; Metazoa; Chordata; Actinopteri; Salmoniformes; Salmonidae. The transcript has 12 exons.
GGCAACAGGAGUGAUAAUACACAAUAACAGCAGUAUACUGUAGGUAGGGGUAAAGUGACUAGGCAACAGGAGUGAUAAUACACAAUAACAGCAGUAUACUGUAGGUAGGGGUAAAGUGACUAGGCAACAGGAGUGAUAAUACACAAUAACAGCAGUAUACUGUAGGUAGGGGUAAAGUGACUAGGCAACAGGAUUGAUAAUACACAAUAACAGCAGUAUACUGUAGGUAGGGGUAAAGUGACUAGGCAACAGGAGUGAUAAUACACAAUAACAGCAGUAUACUGUAGGUAGGGGUAAAGUGACUAGGCAACAGGAUUGAUAAUACACAAUAACAGCAGUAUACUGUAGGUAGGGGUAAAGUGACUAGGCAACAGGAGUGAUAAUACACAAUAACAGCAGUAUACUGUAGGUAGGGGUAAAGUGACUAGGCAACAGGAGUGAUAAUACACAAUAACAGCAGUAUACUGUAGGUAGGGGUAAAGUGACUAGGCAACAGGAGUGAUAAUACACAAUAACAGCAGUAUACUGUAGGUAGGGGUAAAGUGACUAGGCAACAGGAGUGAUAAUACACAAUAACAGCAGUAUACUGUAGGUAGGGGUAAAGUGACUAGGCAACAGGAGUGAUAAUACACAAUAACAGCAGUAUACUGUAGGUAGGGGUAAAGUGACUAGGCAACAGGAUUGAUAAUACACAAUAACAGCAGUAUACUGUAGGUAGGGGUAAAGUGACUAGGCAACAGGAUUGAUAAUACACAAUAACAGCAGUAUACUGUAGGUAGGGGUAAAGUGACUAGGCAACAGGAUUGAUAAUACACAAUAACAGCAGUAUACUGUAGGUAGGGGUAAAGUGACUAGGCAACAGGAUUGAUAAUACACAAUAACAGCAGUAUACUGUAGGUAGGGGUAAAGUGACUAGGCAACAGGAGUGAUAAUACACAAUAACAGCAGUAUACUGUAGGUAGGGGUAAAGUGACUAGGCAACAGGAUUGAUAAUACACAAUAACAGCAGUAUACUGUAGGUAGGGGUAAAGUGACUAGGCAACAGGAUUGAUAAUACACAAUAACAGCAGUAUACUGUAGGUAGGGGUAAAGUGACUAGGCAACAGGAGUGAUAAUACACAAUAACAGCAGUAUACUGUAGGUAGGGGUAAAGUGACUAGGCAACAGGAGUGAUAAUACACAAUAACAGCAGUAUACUGUAGGUAGGGGUAAAGUGACUAGGCAACAGGAGUGAUAAUACACAAUAACAGCAGUAUACUGUAGGUAGGGGUAAAGUGACUAGGCAACAGGAGUGAUAAUACACAAUAACAGCAGUAUACUGUAGGUAGGGGUAAAGUGACUAGGCAACAGGAGUGAUAAUACACAAUAACAGCAGUAUACUGUAGGUAGGGGUAAAGUGACUAGGCAACAGGAGUGAUAAUACACAAUAACAGCAGUAUACUGUAGGUAGGGGUAAAGUGACUAGGCAACAGGAGUGAUAAUACACAAUAACAGCAGUAUACUGUAGGUAGGGGUAAAGUGACUAGGCAACAGGAGUGAUAAUACACAAUAACAGCAGUAUACUGUAGGUAGGGGUAAAGUGACUAGGCAACAGGAUUGAUAAUACACAAUAACAGCAGUAUACUGUAGGUAGGGGUAAAGUGACUAGGCAACAGGAGUGAUAAUACACAAUAACAGCAGUAUACUGUAGGUAGGGGUAAAGUGACUAGGCAACAGGAUUGAUAAUACACAAUAACAGCAGUAUACUGUAGGUAGGGGUAAAGUGACUAGGCAACAGGAGUGAUAAUACACAAUAACAGCAGUAUACUGUAGGUAGGGGUAAAGUGACUAGGCAACAGGAUUGAUAAUACACAAUAACAGCAGUAUACUGUAGGUAGGGGUAAAGUGACUAGGCAACAGGAGUGAUAAUACACAAUAACAGCAGUAUACUGUAGGUAGGGGUAAAGUGACUAGGCAACAGGAGUGAUAAUACACAAUAACAGCAGUAUACUGUAGGUAGGGGUAAAGUGACUAGGCAACAGGAUUGAUAAUACACAAUAACAGCAGUAUACUGUAGGUAGGGGUAAAGUGACUAGGCAACAGGAGUGAUAAUACACAAUAACAGCAGUAUACUGUAGGUAGGGGUAAAGUGACUAGGCAACAGGAUUGAUAAUACACAAUAACAGCAGUAUACUGUAGGUAGGGGUAAAGUGACUAGGCAACAGGAUUGAUAAUACACAAUAACAGCAGUAUACUGUAGGUAGGGGUAAAGUGACUAGGCAACAGGAUUGAUAAUACACAAUAACAGCAGUAUACUGUAGGUAGGGGUAAAGUGACUAGGCAACAGGAUUGAUAAUACACAAUAACAGCAGUAUACUGUAGGUAGGGGUAAAGUGACUAGGCAACAGGAUUGAUAAUACACAAUAACAGCAGUAUACUGUAGGUAGGGGUAAAGUGACUAGGCAACAGGAGUGAUAAUACACAAUAACAGCAGUAUACUGUAGGUAGGUGUAAAGUGACUAGGCAACAGGAUUGAUAAUACACAAUAACAGCAGUAUACUGUAGGUAGGGGUAAAGUGACUAGGCAACAGGAUUGAUAAUACACAAUAACAGCAGUAUACUGUAGGUAGGGGUAAAGUGACUAGGCAACAGGAUUGAUAAUACACAAUAACAGCAGUAUACUGUAGGUAGGGGUAAAGUGACAAGGCAACAGGAGUGAUAAUACACAAUAACAGCAGUAUACUGUAGGUAGGGGUAAAGUGACUAGGCAACAGGAGUGAUAAUACACAAUAACAGCAGUAUACUGUAGGUAGGGGUAAAGUGACUAGGCAACAGGAGUGAUAAUACACAAUAACAGCAGUAUACUGUAGAUAGGGGUAAAGUGACUAGGCAACAGGAGUGAUAAUACACACUAACAGCAAAAUACUGUAGGUAGGUGUAAAGUGACUAGGCAACAGGAUUGAUAAUACACAAUAACAGCAGUAUACUGUAGGUAGGGGUAAAGUGACUAGGCAACAUGAUUGAUAAUACACAAUAACAGCAGUAUACUGUAGGUAGGGGUAAAGUGACUAGGCAACAGGAUUGAUAAUACACAAUAACAGCAGUAUACUGUAGGUAGGGGUAAAGUGACUAGGCAACAGGAGUGAUAAUACACAAUAACAGCAGUAUACUGUAGGUAGGGGUAAAGUGACUAGGCAACAGGAGUGAUAAUACACAAUAACAGCAGUAUACUGUAGGUAGGGGUAAAGUGACUAGGCAACAGGAGUGAUACUGUAGGUAGGGGUAAAGUGACUAGGCAACAGGAGUGAUAAUACACAAUAACAGCAGUAUACUGUAGGUAGGGGUAAAGUGACUAGGCAACAGGAGUGAUAAUACACAAUAACAGCAGUAUACUGUAGGUAGGGGUAAAGUGACUAGGCAACAGGAGUGAUAAUACACAAUAACAGCAGUAUACUGUAGGUAGGGGUAAAGUGACUAGGCAACAGGAGUGAUAAUACACAAUAACAGCAGUAUACUGUAGGUAGGGGUAAAGUGACUAGGCAACAGGAGUGAUAAUACACAAUAACAGCAGUAUACUGUAGGUAGGGGUAAAGUGACUAGGCAACAGGAUUGAUAAUACACAAUAACAGCAGUAUACUGUAGGUAGGGGUAAAGUGACUAGGCAACAGGAGUGAUAAUACACAAUAACAGCAGUAUACUGUAGGUAGAGGUAAAGUGACUAGGCAACAGGAGUGAUAAUACACAAUAACAGCAGUAUACUGUAGGUAGGGGUAAAGUGACUAGGCAACAGGAUUGAUAAUACACAAUAACAGCAGUAUACUGUAGGUAGGGGUAAAGUGACUAGGCAACAGGAGUGAUAAUACACAAUAACAGCAGUAUACUGUAGGUAGGGGUAAAGUGACUAGGCAACAGGAUUGAUAAUACACAAUAACAGCAGUAUACUGUAGGUAGGGGUAAAGUGACUAGGCAACAGGAUUGAUAAUACACAAUAACAGCAGUAUACUGUAGGUAGGGGUAAAGUGACUAGGCAACAGGAGUGAUAAUACACAAUAACAGCAGUAUACUGUAGGUAGGGGUAAAGUGACAAGGCAACAGGAGUGAUAAUACACAAUAACAGCAGUAUACUGUAGGUAGGGGUAAAGUGACUAGGCAACAGGAGUGAUAAUACACAAUAACAGCAGUAUACUGUAGGUAGGGGUAAAGUGACUAGGCAACAGGAGUGAUAAUACACAAUAACAGCAGUAUACUGUAGGUAGGGGUAAAGUGACUAGGCAACAGGAGUGAUAAUACACAAUAACAGCAGUAUACUGUAGGUAGGGGUAAAGUGACUAGGCAACAGGAGUGAUAAUACACAAUAACAGCAGUAUACUGUAGGUAGGGGUAAAGUGACUAGGCAACAGGAGUGAUAAUACACAGUAGCAGCAGUAUACUGUAGGUAGGGGUAAAGUGACUAGGCAACAGGAUUGAUAAUACACAAUAACAGCAGUAUACUGUAGGUAGGGGUAAAGUGACUAGGCAACAGGAGUGAUAAUACACAAUAACAGCAGUAUACUGUAGGUAGAGGUAAAGUGACUAGGCAACAGGAGUGAUAAUACACAAUAACAGCAGUAUACUGUAGGUAGGGGUAAAGUGACUAGGCAACAUGAUUGAUAAUACACAAUAACAGCAGUAUACUGUAGGUAGAGGUAAAGUGACUAGGCAACAGGAGUGAUAAUACACAAUAACAGCAGUAUACUGUAGGUAGGGGUAAAGUGACUAGGCAACAGGAUUGAUAAUACACAAUAACAGCAGUAUACUGUAGGUAGGGGUAAAGUGACUAGGCAACAGGAGUGAUAAUACACAAUAACAACAGUAUACUGUAGGUAGGGGUAAAGUGACUAGGCAACAGGAUUGAUAAUACACAAUAACAGCAGUAUACUGUAGGUAGGGGUAAAGUGACUAGGCAACAGGAGUGAUAAUACACAAUAACAGCAGUAUACUGUAGGUAGGGGUAAAGUGACUAGGCAACAGGAGUGAUAAUACACAAUAACAGCAGUAUACUGUAGGUAGGGGUAAAGUGACUAGGCAACAGGAUUGAUAAUACACAAUAACAGCAGUAUACUGUAGGUAGGGGUAAAGUGACUAGGCAACAGGGCUGAUAAUACACAGAAGCAGCAGUGUAUGUGGUGAGUGUGAAAGUGUGUGUUAUCACUUGAACUUGCGGUAGCAGAGAGAACAGUCUAUGGCUUGGGUGGCUGGAGACUUUGACACAUUUUUGGACCUUCCUCUCUGAUGUACAGGGCCAUACUCACCACCCUCUGUAGUGCCUUGCUGUUGGGUGCCAUGCAGUUUCCACACCAAGCGGUGAUGCAGUCAGUCAAGAUGCUCUGAAUGGUGCAGCUGUUAAACUUUUUGAGGAUCUGAGGGCCCAUGCCAAAUCCUUUCCUGUAGUUCACAAUAAGUUUGUUUGUCUUGCUCACAUUGAGUGGAGGUUGUUGUCCUGGCACCACACUGCCAGGUCUCUGACCUCCUCCCUAUAGGCUGUCUCAUCAUCAUCGGUGAUCAGGCCUACCAUCAUGUGUCGUAACCAAACUUAAUGAUGGUGUUGGAGUUAUGCGUGGCCACACAGUCUUGCGUGAAUAGGGAGUACAUGAGGGGACUAAGCACGCACCCGAGGGGCCCCGUGUUGAGGGUCAGUGUGGCAGAUGUGUUAUUGCCUACCCUUACAACCUGGGGGCGGCCCCUCUCCGGAAGUCCAGGAUCCAGUUGCAGAGGGAGGUGUUCAGUCCCAGGGACCUUAGCGUAGUGAUGAGCUUGGAGGGCACUAUGUUGUUGAACGCUGAGCUGUAGUCAAUGAACAGAAUUCUCACACAGGUGUUCCUUUUGUCCAGGUGGGAAAGGGCAAUCAUCUGUUGAUCUGUUGGGGUGGUAUUUGAAUUGGAGCGGGUCCAGGGUUUCUGAGAUGAUGGUGUUCAUGUGAGCCAUGAUCAGCCUUUCAAAGCAUUUCAUGGCUACAAAUGUGAGCGUUACGAGACGGUAGUCAUUUAGGCAGGUUACCUUGUCGUUCUUGGGCACAGUGGUCUGCUUGCAACCAGAAGUAUGUGGACAACUGCUCGUCAAACAUCACAUUCCAAAAUUGUGAAAUGUCACGCCAUGAUCUGUUUCACAUGUCCUUGUGCUUGUCUCCACCCCCUCCAGGUGUCACUCAUGUGACACCUCUGUGCCAGUUCAUCUUGUUUGCCAAGUCAACCAGCGUUUAUCUCCUAGCUCCUAUUUUUUCCCUCGUCUCUGUUUUUUCCAAGUCCUCCUGGUUUUGACCCUGUCCUGACACCAAACCCGCCUGUCUGACCAUUCUUCCUGCCCCGACCUCGAGCCUGCCUAACACCUUGUACUGUUUGGAGACGGACAUGGUUACUGAACCCCUGCCUGUCCUGACCUCGAGACUGUCUAACGCCCUGUACUGUUUGGACUCUGACCUGGUUUAUGAACUCUCGCCUGUACCCGAUCUGCCUUUUGCCUACCCCUUGGGUUAUAAUAGUUAUUGGAGCUCAACCAUCUGCCUCCUGUGUCUGCAUAUGAGUCUCGACUUGUGCCCUUAUAUUAAUAUGGUGUUGGUCCCCCCUUUGCUGCUAUAACAGCCUCCACUCUUCUGGGAAGGUUUUCCACUAGAUGUUGGUAAAUUGCUGCAGGGUAUUGCUUCCAUUCAGCCACAAGAGCAUUAAUGAGGUCAGGCACUGAUGUUGGGCGAUUAGGUCUGGCUCGCAAUCGGUAUUCUCUGAUUGAGAACCAUACUUCAGUAGCCCUUUUUUUCACCUGUCUUUGUGGGAAGUUGACUUUGUUUAGGGCACAUAGCCUUUAGCUUCACGGUUUGUUUUUGUAGUGUUUAUUGUUUUGUUCGGUGUCAUUUUUAUUAAUAAAAGAAAAUGUACGUUCACCACGCUGCACCUUGGUCCUCUUCUUACAACAGCCGUGACAGGUACUGUAUUCUCAUGGUACUGUAUUAUGUUACUGUAUCUUGGUACUGUAUUAACAUGGUACUGUAUUAUCAUGGUACUGUAUCAUGGUACUGUAUUAACAUGGUAUUGUAUCAUCAUGGUAUUGUAUUAUCAUGCUACUGUAUUGUCAUGGUAUUGUAUUAUCAUGCUACUGUAUUGUCAUGGUAUUGUAUUAUCAUCGUACUGUAUCAUUGUAAUGUAUUUACAUGGUACGGGAUUAUGAUCCCUGUUUAAUCUAGCAAGCUGUCCUGAUCCUCCUCCCAUUACUAAUGGAGAUUUCACCAAGGAAAAGAGAGAUGUUGAAGGUGUAAUUAUAGAGGUGUCCUACCAAUGCAGCAGACAGUUUACACUGAGUUUCACAGGCAGCAUCAGAUGUCUGAAUGGAAAAUGGCAGAGUCCUCCAAAGUGUUUACGGCCUUGUGAGAUUUCCACUUUUGAUGCAGAGUACAAUCUACAGAAUUUACCCAAGAAAGAUAAGAUUGCGCACGGUGAAAAAAAGACUCUUCAUUGCAAAGAGGGAUAUUACCAUCAAUACAAGACAUUUCGACCGAAUAUAGACGAAAUUGAGGUGAAGUGUUAUGAUGGAGAGUUACAGUAUGGAGAACACAUACCUAUAUGUAGCCAUCGUUAUUCAUAGGUAGAUGAUGAACAUAAUGGAGUCAUGAUGUUUGGUCCAUCAAAUGCAAGAAUCCUUACAAAGACGUCUUUAUGUGCAAGGAGAACAUAUUUGCUUUUGUGGUGUCGUUGUUGCUUGUUUAAUUUAGGUUUAGAAAAAAUGUGAGCCAUCCAGUAAUGGAGCACAUGAGGUGUAAUUUUCAUCAUUUGACUUUGUACCAUUGUAACAAAAUAACAGUAUCUUUCUAAUCAUCAGUCUCAGCUUCACUAUAACAGUACAGCUAUGUAAAGCUAGACUAAAAUGGUACAUUUGUUGUAUUAGUUCAAAGAGAUGUGAUUGUGUGAACAUUCUAUCAAGUUUAUAAAUUGCCUGGCUGGGCUGAUGAGGCAGUGGAUUGCACAGUCAGUUGGUACAGAGUAAAUAGGCAUUUUAAAGUCAUAGAUUUAGCCAGUGGUAGCUUGUGGAAUAGGCACCGACUGGAAUGCGGUUUUAACCAUUCAACAUUCAGGAUUAGACCGACACGCUCUAUAAUUUGUGAAUAUUCUCCUGUAUCUCCCAGCUGUGUGAUUCAUUACCUCAAGGUGUAAUAUAAGUGAACAACUGUUAUGAUUGUAAUUGACCUUUUCAAGACAAUAAAGUUGUGGAAAAGAGAUGACACCGUUGUCUCCAUGAGUCUUUACAAGGCUCCAGUACAACAGAAUAAGAUUUACAGAUGUUUACCUAACAAAUGCACAUUAAAGCUAACAAACUAUUUCUCUG